RNAcentral lists this ribosomal RNA (511 nucleotides) under uncultured bacterium. RNAcentral's name for it is "bacterial SSU rRNA". It matches the Rfam family "Bacterial small subunit ribosomal RNA", at positions 33 to 518 of the family's 1533-position model. The record is from RNAcentral.
ACGCUGGCGGCGUGCCAAUACAUGCAAGUCGAACGGUCUUUUCUAUGGAAGCUUGCUUCCAACUGAAAAGAUAGUGGCGAACGGGUGAGUAACACGUGGGUAACCUGCCCAUAAGAGGGGGAUAACAUCCGGAAACGGUGCUAAUACCGCAUAGUUUCUUGAUCGCAUGAUCGGGAAAGGAAAGACGGCCUUUGUGCUGUCGCUUAUGGAUGGACCCGCGGCGUAUUAGUUAGUUGGUGAGGUAACGGCUCACCAAGACGAUGAUACGUAGCCGACCUGAGAGGGUGAUCGGCCACAUUGGGACUGAGACACGGCCCAAACUCCUACGGGAGGCAGCAGUAGGGAAUCUUCCGCAAUGGACGAAAGUCUGACGGAGCAACGCCGCGUGAGUGAAGAAAGGUUUUCGGAUCGUAAAACUCUGUUGUCAGAGAAGAACAAGUUGGAGAGUAACUGCUCCAGCCUUGACGGUAUCUGACCAGAAAGCCACGGCUAACUACGUGCCAGCCGCAGC